GGGAAAAAAAGGGGCAAUGAAAUCCUUCUUUCAUGGACCAGGUCUGUCGUCAACCACAUGUGGUUUACCUGUGCCACAUGUAAGGGUGACGUAGAGGCACUGCAAAAACGGUGGAAGUUCAUUCCACACCAUGCUUGCAAUGAACACGAAUGGACAGAUGGUGACGGAAAUCGUCAUCGGUGUGAACACACUCCUCUUACCGCCCGUGAGCAGAAGAAGAGGAUGUGGAUUGAGAAGGACUCGUGGCAUUUCAGGACCUGUCGUCGCUGGUCCUAGACAAAAGGCUAUUGAAAGACCUUGAGAAGAUGGCCCUCUUCAAACAUACUGGUGAGA
Gadus chalcogrammus (walleye pollock) is the source of this 333-nucleotide long non-coding RNA. RefSeq lists it as uncharacterized. Lineage: Eukaryota; Metazoa; Chordata; Actinopteri; Gadiformes; Gadidae. The transcript is spliced from 3 exons. The record is from RefSeq and is a predicted model, not a curated record.